GACGAACGCUGGCGGCGUGCUUAACACAUGCAAGUCGAACGGAAAGGCCCUGCUUUUGUGGGGUGCUCGAGUGGCGAACGGGUGAGUAACACGUGAGUAACCUGCCCUUGACUUUGGGAUAACUUCAGGAAACUGGGGCUAAUACCGGAUAGGAGCUCCUGCUGCAUGUGGGGGGUUGGAAAGUUUCGGCGGUUGGGGAUGGACUCGCGGCUUAUCAGCUUGUUGGUGGGGUAGUGGCUUACCAAGGCUUUGACGGGUAGCCGGCCUGAGAGGGUGACCGGCCACAUUGGGACUGAGAUACGGCCCAGACUCCUACGGGAGGCAGCAGUGGGGAAUAUUGCACAAUGGGCGGAAGCCUGAUGCAGCAACGCCGCGUGCGGGAUGACGGCCUUCGGGUUGUAAACCGCUUUCGCCUGUGACGAAGCGUGAGUGACGGUAAUGGGUAAAGAAGCACCGGCUAACUACGUG
Molecule: ribosomal RNA, 468 nt
Filed under: uncultured bacterium
Lineage: Bacteria
Description: partial 16S ribosomal RNA
Rfam family: Bacterial small subunit ribosomal RNA
Source: RNAcentral